Colletotrichum incanum is the source of this 1467-nucleotide ribosomal RNA. It matches the Rfam family "Bacterial small subunit ribosomal RNA". The record is from Rfam. Lineage: Eukaryota; Fungi; Ascomycota; Sordariomycetes; Glomerellales; Glomerellaceae.
AUAUAGAUGAGUUUGGUGAUGGCUCUGAAUGAAUGCUGUCCAAAUGCUUGACACAUGCUAAUCGUACGAUUAAUUUAAUGAAUAAUUUAAUUAAUAAGUGGUGUACAGGUGAGUAUAUGAUAUUUUCACUACCUUAAAGUGAGGGAUAAAAUCCCACAUAGUAAUAAAGGCUAUAACCCCAUUCCAUGGGAAAGCCGCUUUAGGAUGAAGAUUAAUAUCGUCGAGAGAGGUAGUAGUAAAGGUGAUGUCUUCACUAGCCUUAAAAUCUCGUAACCGUAACUGAAAGGUUGAUCGGUCACAUUGGGUCUGAAAAAAGCCCAAUGCAAAAUUAGUACAGCAGUGGGGAAUUUUGGUCAAUGGCCUAACGGCUGAACUGGCAAUUUGGGUAAACGAAAUAGAAUUGUAUCUACAAAAAUAAAGUUUUAAGUACGUAUUAAUAAUGAUAAUAUGUAUACUAGUCUUGACCAAUUACGUGCCAGCAGUCGCGGUAAUACGUAAGAGACGAGCAUUAUUCAUAUUAAAUAGGUUUAAAGGGUACCCAGACGGUCAAAAUACCUUAAUUAAAAGGAGUACUUGACUAGAGUUAUAUGUGAGAAGACCGUACUUGAGGUGGAGAGAUUAUAUUCUGUGAUACCAAAAGGACUGAUAAAGGCGAAGGCUGUCUUUUAUGUAAUAACUGACGUUGGAGGACGAAGGCAUAGAGAACGAACAGGAUUUGACACCCUAGUAGUCUUUGCAGACAAUGAUGAAUGCCAUGGACUAGAUAAAGCAUUAUGCGAUAAGUUUAGUCUAUAAAUGAAAAUGAAAGCAUUUCACCUCAAGAGUAAUGUGGCAACGCAGGAACUGAAAUCACUAGACCGUUUCUGACACCAGUAGUGAAGUAUGUUAUUUAAUUCGAUGAUCCACGAAAAACCUUACCACAACUUGAAUAUCUAGUAAAUAGAUACAGGAGUUGCACGGCUGUUUUCAGUUAAUGUUGUGAAACUGUGGUUUUUCCAUGAAAUUAACGGAAUCCUUUGCUUUAUUUAUAGAAUGUUUUAUAAAGCAAUCUUUCUUUAUAGCGGAAAAGAUAAGAAGGAAAAAGACAAGUCAUCAUGGCCCUUAUGUUGUGGGCUAUAGACGUGCCACGUAGUCCUUAACAAAGAGAUGCGAAAAUGCGAAUUUUAGCUAAUCUCAAAAAAGAGGAUAUAAAUUAUACAAGGAUUGUAGUCUGAAACUCGACUAUAUGAAUAAGUAAUUACUAGUAAUCGUGAAUCACCAUGUCACGGUGAAUUUAAUCUCGGAUUGGUACUAACCACUCGUCGCAUGCUGAAAGGAGUUUACGCAAUAAGUUUGCUAUUCUGUUAUAAUCUCUUUUAUAAAUUGGAUUAAAAUAUUAUAAUGGAAUUCUUCGUAUGCGUUACUCUGAUUAGUGUUAAGUCGAAAUAUGGUUCGUGUAGUGGAAGUUGCACGGGGUUUAUAAACUUA